UCCGGUUUGUCACCGGCAGUCUCGCAUGAGUCCCCAACUAAAUGCUGGCAACAUGCGACGGGGGUUGCGCUCGUUGCGGCACUUAAGCCAACACCUCACGACACGAGCUGACGACAGCCAUGCAGCACCUGUGCUAGCGUCCCGAAGGAGGGCCCUGCUUUCACAAGGCUUUCCCUAGCAUGUCAAGUCCAGGUAAGGUUCUUCGCGUUGCUUCGAAUUAGACCACAUGCUCCACCGC
This 238-nucleotide unclassified non-coding RNA is filed under the name uncultured bacterium. Its description in RNAcentral is "contains 16S-23S intergenic spacer region". The record is from RNAcentral.